RNAcentral lists this ribosomal RNA (301 nucleotides) under uncultured bacterium. Its description in RNAcentral is "partial 16S ribosomal RNA". It matches the Rfam family "Bacterial small subunit ribosomal RNA", at positions 509 to 807 of the family's 1533-position model. The record is from RNAcentral.
CAGCCGCCACGGUAAUACGUAGGGUGCGAGCGUUAAUCGGAAUUACUGGGCGUAAAGCGUGCGCAGGCGGUUUUGUAAGACAGAGGUGAAAUCCCCGGGCUCAACCUGGGAACUGCCUUUGUGACUGCAAGGCUAGAGUACGGCAGAGGGGGAUGGAAUUCCGCGUGUAGCAGUGAAAUGCGUAGAUAUGCGGAGGAACACCGAUGGCGAAGGCAAUCCCCUGGGCCUGUACUGACGCUCAUGCACGAAAGCGUGGGGAGCAAACAGGAUUAGAUACCCCCGUAGUCCCUGUCUCUUAUAC